UAGAAUGAGGUGUAAUAGGUAGCACGGAGAGAUUUGAAUUCUCAGGAGUAGGUUCGAUACCUAUAAUUCUAG
This 72-nucleotide transfer RNA is filed under the name Pygathrix nigripes (Black-shanked douc langur). RNAcentral's name for it is "tRNA-Gln". It matches the Rfam family "tRNA". From Rfam's summary of the family: Transfer RNA (tRNA) molecules are approximately 80 nucleotides in length. Their secondary structure includes four short double-helical elements and three loops (D, anti-codon, and T loops). Further hydrogen bonds mediate the characteristic L-shaped molecular structure. tRNAs have two regions of fundamental functional importance: the anti-codon, which is responsible for specific mRNA codon recognition, and the 3' end, to which the tRNAs corresponding amino acid is attached (by aminoacyl-tRNA synthetases). tRNAs cope with the degeneracy of the genetic code in two manners: having more than one tRNA (with a specific anti-codon) for a particular amino acid; and 'wobble' base-pairing, i.e. permitting non-standard base-pairing at the 3rd anti-codon position. The record is from RNAcentral. Lineage: Eukaryota; Metazoa; Chordata; Mammalia; Primates; Cercopithecidae.